AUAAACUUUUACACUUGGCACAUCAUGAACUGCAAUGUGUAAUAUAAUUAUUGAAGAUUCUUCAUUAUAAGUUGGAUAAUUCUGAAUAUUUUCCAAGGUGGACUGUUACUCAUGGACAGAAAAACACACAUUAUAGAGUUUUAAUCUCAUUUUUAGGCAUGCACUAAUACUGGUAUUGCUUGGAACAAUAAAUGCAAACCUGCUUUAGGCCUUCAUAAACCGGAUUUACCUUGAGUUCAUCUUGUAUGGUUGGCAUGCCGUUUAGUUGUAGUUCCUGUAGUGACCAGACAAGUUUUCAAGUCAACCUGUUCUCUUGACAUCUUGAUGGGCUAGUUUCUAGUUAUUCCCUCUCAUUACCUCUGCCAUUCUUUGUGUUAAGUCCAGCAAACCUAAGGACCAGUAAUGCAACAUCUUUAUCUUUUCAUCAAGCUAAAAUUAUUUUGGUGGUUAGUUUCCCUUUAAGAAAAUAGAGCUGAUUUAGAAGAAAUCUUUAAAGGAACGCUCCAAAUAUCAUAACCAUAGUUAUGGUGCCAGGAGUGCUUUGGUGCUAUUCUACUGAAACAUGUCAUGAUGGAUCCCACAGGACACCCACACUGCUUGUGGUCUUUUUAAGCUAAAGAAGCUACAAGUCAAUUUUGUGCUAGACAAAAUCCCAAUAAUAGGUGACUCCUGGUGCAAUGUCCUAAGGCACCCUUAAUAUUCUGCUAAAUGCAAAAAAAUAUACCACAUGCCUGCAACAUAUAACUAGAUAAUAGAAACAGCUUUAUUUUACCAAUG
Molecule: non-coding RNA, 777 nt
Organism: Pelobates cultripes (western spadefoot toad)
Lineage: Eukaryota; Metazoa; Chordata; Amphibia; Anura; Pelobatidae
Source: the annotation of a GenBank genome assembly